AUGGACCGGGUGGUCAAGCCCAACGUCGCGGUCCUGCGGGAGUGCGGGCUAGGUGCUCGCGAUAUUGCCAAGCUGCUCAUCCAAAUGCCGAGGAUCGUCACCGCCAGUCCGGAGCGCGCCCUCGCGAUGGUCGCGUGCGCCGAACGCAUUGGUGUGCCCCGUGGCUCUGGGAUGUUUAGGCAAGCGCUGCAGGCUGUCGCGUGCUUCAGCGAGGAGAAGAUUGCCGCCAAAGUGGAACAGUUGAAGAAGACAUUGCGGUGGUCGGAUGCCGAUGUCCGCAUUGCUCUGUGCAAGUGGCCCACUGUGCUGAGGUGGUCAAAGGGCAUGCUGCAGCGCAAGUCCGAGUUCCUCUUCUCUAAGGUGGGCUUGGAACCGGCGUACAUUGCUCACCGUCCGGCAAUACUCGGUCUUAGCUUGGAGCGCCGGCUCGAGCCCCGGUACUAUGUUAUGAGGUUUCUUAAGGAGAAUGGAUUGUUGAGUCAUGGCAGAGACUACAAUAGUAUGGUCUUGGUCAGCGAGAAGGUAUUUGUGGAGAGGUUCAUACGCCCCCACAAGCAAGCUGCACCACUCAUUGCUGAAGACUAUGCAGCCGCUUGCACAGGGGAGGUGCCUGCUAGAUUCAGAUUUACAUGA
Molecule: ribosomal RNA, 633 nt
Filed under: Triticum aestivum (bread wheat)
Lineage: Eukaryota; Viridiplantae; Streptophyta; Magnoliopsida; Poales; Poaceae
Description: partial small subunit ribosomal RNA
Source: RNAcentral